GAUGAACGCUGGCGGCGUGCCUAAUUCAUGCAAGUCGAGCGAACGGACGAGAAGCUUGCUUCUCUGAUGUUAGCGGCGGACGGGUGAGUAACACGUGGAUAACCUACCUAUAAGACUGGGAUAACUUCGGGAAACCGGAGCUAAUACCGGAUAAUAUUUUGAACCGCAUGGUUCAAAAGUGAAAGACGGUCUUGCUGUCACUUAUAGAUGGAUCCGCGCUGCAUUAGCUAGUUGGUAAGGUAACGGCUUACCAAGGCAACGAUGCAUAGCCGACCUGAGAGGGGAAGCGGCCCACCUGGAACUGGAACCGGGUCCAAACCCCACCGGGGGGCAGCAGGGGGGAAUUUUCCGCAAGGGGCGAAACCCUGACGGAGCACCGCCCGGUGGGUGAUGAAGGGCUUCGGACCGUAAAACCCUUUUAUUGGGGAAAAAAAAAUGUGUAAUUAACUGUGCCCAUUUUGACGGUACCAAAGCAGAAAGCCACGGCUAACUACGU
RNAcentral lists this ribosomal RNA (496 nucleotides) under uncultured bacterium. Its description in RNAcentral is "partial 16S ribosomal RNA". It matches the Rfam family "Bacterial small subunit ribosomal RNA", at positions 28 to 506 of the family's 1533-position model. The record is from RNAcentral.